CCUACGGGAGGCAGCAGUCGAGAAUCAUUCACAAUGGGGGAAACCCUGAUGGUGCGACGCCGCGUGGGGGAAUGAAGGUCUUCGGAUUGUAAACUCCUGUCAUGUGGGAGCAAAUUAAAAAGAUAGUACCACAAGAGGAAGAGACGGCUAACUCUGUGCCAGCAGCCGCGGUAAUACAGAGGUCUCAAGCGUUGUUCGGCAUCACUGGGCGUAAAGCGUGCGUAGGCUGUUUCGUAAGUCGUGUGUGAAAGGCGGGGGCUCAACCCGCGGACGGCACAUGAUACUGCGAGACUAGAGUAAUGAAGGGGGAAGCGGAAUGCUCGGUGUAGCAGUGAAAUGCGUAGAUAUCGAGAGGAACACUCGUGGCGAAGGCGGGUUCCUGGACAUUAACUGACGCUGAGGCACGAAGGCCAGGGGAGCGAAAGGGAUUAGAUACCCGUGUAGUC
This 446-nucleotide ribosomal RNA is filed under the name uncultured bacterium. Its description in RNAcentral is "partial 16S ribosomal RNA". It matches the Rfam family "Bacterial small subunit ribosomal RNA", at positions 338 to 795 of the family's 1533-position model. The record is from RNAcentral.